RNAcentral lists this ribosomal RNA (380 nucleotides) under uncultured eukaryote. Its description in RNAcentral is "partial 18S ribosomal RNA". It matches the Rfam family "Eukaryotic small subunit ribosomal RNA", at positions 592 to 976 of the family's 1831-position model. The record is from RNAcentral.
UAAUAGCGUAUAUUAAAGUUGUUGCGGUUAAAAAGCUCGUAGUUGGAUUUCUGCUGAGAACGACCGGUCCGCCCAUUGGGUGUGUAUCUGGCUCUUUCUUGGCAUCUUCUUGGUGAACGUUACUGCACUUGACUGUGUGGAGCGCUACCCAGGACUUUUACUUUGGGGAAAUUAGAGUGUUUCAAGCAGGCAUACGCCUUGAAUACGUUAGCAUGGAAUAAUAAGAUAGGACCUCGGUUCUAUUUUGUUGGUUUCUAGAGCUGAGGUAAUGAUUAAUAGGGACAAUUGGGGGCAUUCGUAUUAACGCGUCAGAGGUGGAAUUCUUGGAUUGCGUUACGACGAACUACUGCGAAAGCAUUUGCCAAGGAUGUUUUCAUUGA